GCCGCGGUGGUGGAAUUGGUAGACACGCUGGUCUUAGGAACCAGUGCCUUAUGGUGUGAAGGUUCGAGUCCUUUCCGCGGCA
This 82-nucleotide transfer RNA is filed under the name bacterium. Its description in RNAcentral is "tRNA-Leu". It matches the Rfam family "tRNA". From Rfam's summary of the family: Transfer RNA (tRNA) molecules are approximately 80 nucleotides in length. Their secondary structure includes four short double-helical elements and three loops (D, anti-codon, and T loops). The record is from RNAcentral. RNAcentral also lists the same sequence under 2 other names.